UCCACGUUCUUGCGGUGGUAUUGUGCAAGGAAUCGCAUUGUUUCAUACUCGAUGUCAUUCGACGUUAUACGUCAAGACCGUGUUCUUCUGUUCCGUGUUUCGCGUCGUGCAACGAUGAGAGAGCGAGAUACCAUUUGCAAUAUUCGCUCGCGAGACGUGUCCGACCGUGUAACGAGGUUGUCCAUUUUGUAGCCAAUUACAGGAGAGUUGCAAUUACAGCAAUUACGGUUGAAAGUUGUUUCGACUUUAACGAGCAAUUUAGUUGCGAGUGAAGUUUAAAUAUUAAACAGCGAAAAUUAUAUGAGCCGGGAGACUCGUCGAUAUAUUUAUGAACUUUAUGAGGCCGAUGUUGGUUACGCCGUGGAAAAAUUAACGUUGAACAAGAUUUUGAUAUCGGAAUAAAUAAUUUUAAUAUUCAAUUCCUGGAACGGAAGCCGGUCUAAUGGCCUGAAAAUAGAUACCCGCGGUGCUACGUGCCGAAUCAUAAAUUUUACGUCAUCGCAGCGAUUUCGUUACACACGGUCGCUCAGCUAUGAAAACCGUUGUCGCUGCAUGCCAACGCGUUCUGCUCGAAAUAGAAGAAUCAAAAAAUAGCUAGGAAACCUGAACGAGCAUUGGAGGAUUCCCCAAGCUCAAAGAAGUUCAUGGAUUCGUAGAAGCUGAUGUAAUGGAUUCUAACCUUAGAAAUGCUCUUGAACCGACUUGUGAACCACUGCCGGUUUCCUCGUUUUGUCCAAUGAAUCAUGAUCUCGAAUCAUUGUACACCUGAACCUUGAUAUUCGGUUACUCUUUAGUACAAGUUCGUGUUAGAUUCUGCAUCAUCUUUGCAGACAGCAGUCGUAGAGGAGAAGGUAAACGGUUUAGAGGAUUAGAAUCUUUUUAGAGGUCCCUCGUGUAUUAUAAUAUUCAACGAAGGUCUGUAUCCUUGAACGAACAAGUACGCAGAACAGAAUCGUGCCAAAGGAUCCUAAUCAAAGGAAACCAUCCCGUUAAUCCUAGAAUCCGUUACAGUCGCCCUUGUGCACGUUCAUCCGUCGGUUCUGUAGACGAAAUUACGAUUCGCUAAUCUCCGGCAAACAAGACACACCAAAUUCUAGAGUAUUCAUAACAAACCUCACACGUCUUCAAUACAAUAAAUAAAUAAUGUAUGUUCAAGGAUGCGAAGCUUGGUAUCAUAAAAGGUAAUGUAAUUCCAUUGUCUUUAAUUCAAUAUCUGGAGCUAUUAUCACGCACACGAAUUGCCUCCCCUAUUUUUCAAACAUUUCUAUUUCUUCUA
Molecule: long non-coding RNA, 1276 nt
Organism: Hylaeus anthracinus
Lineage: Eukaryota; Metazoa; Arthropoda; Insecta; Hymenoptera; Colletidae
Exons: 5
Source: RefSeq, a predicted model, not a curated record